AUGUUUUAGUGGAUUAUGAUUGUUGGCUUGAAAUUAAAUUUGAUUAACAUGUUAUUUUUGUGGUAAUAUCAUUAUCAUGAUGUAGACAUUGUGGAAAAUGAAAGGUGGUACGUAAACGUCAAAAGUGAAAGACAAACAUGAUGGUAUCUAAGGUGAAGGUCUAGAACGUUAGAUAACCAACAGAUGAAGAACAACGAAAGAAUUAGGAUCUAGAUUACUAAUAAGUAAUGAUGGUGAGGGAAUAAAGAGUAUCGGGAAAUCGAUAAGAUCCUUAUCGGAAGACGAAGCAUAUAUGGGAAAGGAAGAUUGGACAAAAUGUGGUUGUGAUGAAAGAUUGGGGAAGAAAAUGGGGAUGACAAGGUGUAAUCUGGUAUAUUUGGGGAGUUUAGAGGUGAAAAGACCGAUUUUCCCUUGACACAAACAAUGAAACGGACAGACGUUGGACAUGGGGACGCAACAUGUAGCACUUUUACAAGACCGGGGAUUCAUUGGUCGAAAAAUUCAUUUGAGGGUGAUCUGACACCAACCUAUAAACACAAAUACACAAAUUGUAUUUUACUCUAAUAUUUAUAGUGUUAAGAUUUAAAAAAGGGAGUUGAAUUAUUAGUUGGUUUUUCCCAAAUGUAGCAAGAGUGAUACAUAGUUCGAGUGUUCGACGUGUAUUAAGAGUCUACUUUUGUUCACUUUUUUCUUCAAUGUUUGGUUUGGACUGUUCACUUUUUUCUUCAAUGUUUGGUUUGCACAUUUGUU
This 750-nucleotide long non-coding RNA is filed under the name Helianthus annuus (common sunflower). The record is from RNAcentral. Lineage: Eukaryota; Viridiplantae; Streptophyta; Magnoliopsida; Asterales; Asteraceae.